Peromyscus maniculatus bairdii (prairie deer mouse) is the source of this 715-nucleotide non-coding RNA. The record is from RefSeq and is a predicted model, not a curated record. NCBI's taxonomy places the organism in Eukaryota, Metazoa, Chordata, Mammalia, Rodentia, Cricetidae.
CUCUGGUUGUCAUUUUAAUUUUCUCCUCUUUGCAAUAAAACAGCGCUAUCUGGUGGCCUCCCAGAAGACCAAAUAGGUUUUCUGCUAAGGUAAGAGGAUGUGUGGCUAGGUCAGUAAGAUGAGGCAAGGUGAGACAGAACAAGAACUAUGUGAUGGUAGGUGUGCAGCUCUGGCCACAAGGCCUCCCUCUGUAAUUUAUGAGCGUCCCACUUGUCCUGUGCUGAGCUGGAAGUCUGAGAUGUGCAGACCCUAGUUGAGGGGCUCUACAAUAUCUGUGCCUUUGAAACACUGCAGACCUUUCCCAUCAAUGCCACAUCCCACCAGAAAAUACCAGGCUCCAAAUAGAACCACAUGCAACCUAUCCAAUCAUAAAUGGCAUGUGAGGCUUAAGGCCGCCCCUGAAGCCCUCUGGCCCAAUGAGCAUACGGGCUGAGACUCUAAACCUCCCCCAUUCCACCUUGGUCUUCCUGCCUGGGACAUUGAGCAUGCUCAGACUUGAGGUCCUUAAGGAAAUGCUGAGGAGCUGCUGAGCCGUUGGGGAGGAGUGCCUGUGGGAUCAGCAAUAUCCCCCUUCUCAUUCCUUAUAAAAUGAAACUCUGCUCUCUAUCUUCUACCAUACACAAGCUCUGCACCAAAUGAGCCAUAGACCUGAUACCCUGAAAAUGCCAAAGGACACAGUAGAGAAAAUACUCCCACAGCUAAGCACAGGUAAGGA